This 253-nucleotide ribosomal RNA is filed under the name uncultured bacterium. RNAcentral describes it as "partial 16S ribosomal RNA". It matches the Rfam family "Bacterial small subunit ribosomal RNA", at positions 524 to 776 of the family's 1533-position model. The record is from RNAcentral.
UACGGGGGGAGCAAGCGUUGUUCGGCUUUACUGGGCGUACAGGGCGCGUAGGCGGCGCAACAAGUCACUUGUGAAAUCUCCGGGCUUAACCCGGAGCGGCCAAGUGAUACUGUCGUGCUAGAGUGCGGAAGGGGCUACUGGAAUUCUCGGUGUAGCGGUGAAAUGCGUAGAUAUCGAGAGGAACACCUGCGGCGAAGGCGGGUAGCUGGGCCGACACUGACGCUGAGGCGCGAAAGCCAGGGGAGCGAACGGG